RNAcentral lists this unclassified non-coding RNA (251 nucleotides) under Hevea brasiliensis (rubber tree). Lineage: Eukaryota; Viridiplantae; Streptophyta; Magnoliopsida; Malpighiales; Euphorbiaceae. The record is from RNAcentral.
UUCACCCCAUAGCUCUGUCACCUCCACAUACUUCCCCCCAAUAGCAGCAUAGCCUGUUACCAUAGAAUGAAAAGUCUGAGCAUUUGGAGCAUGCCCCAGGAUCCUCAUCUUCUUCAAAGCCUUCUCUGCAUCUUUCAUCAAUUUCUUUCUACAGAAAAAAUGGAUUACAUUAUUCCAGUCAUGAACUCCAGAGUCCAAUGUCUGCCCAUCCUCGAUUUCCCGCAAGAGCUUUGUCAUCAACCCUGUUUCAC